CAACCCCUCCGCGCAUGAUAGAAAAAAGAAAAGAAAAGAAAAUAAAAAACCCACAAGUACGCACGUCCCAACUCCCACCUCCCACUUCCCACUCCUUCCGCCAGAUCCUCGCUCUCGAUCCGGUGUCUCUGCAGAGACGAAUCGCCGCCGCCGGCCUAUUCCCGCCUACGUCGACCUUGAGCGGCAACACAAUGCAGCCAGACUUCUAUACUAGAUUGGAGCGGUGGAUCUACAUCUAUCUCUUCUUCACCGAGUCCACGAGGUACUCGACGUGGCAGGGGCGACGAACAGGAGCACCACAUCGACAGCAGCGACGAACGACGGCCCAGGUGUUGCCAUCUCCUUAUCUUCGAUCCAACCCAUCUUCCCCUCGUAUCCUGUACUCCCGCACCCCCUCAUUCUUCUCUCCCGUGGCAGGGACCGACGAGUUGCAACGGACGGGGGGCAGUCCGGCUGCUGGCGUAAAGGACGACGGGUGGUGGUAGGGCCGUGGGAAGAGCAGGUAGACGGAGAAGGUUGCCUAUGGAAAUCUGGCAAGUGGCAGCGGCAUACAGACCAAGCGGGAAAACACCAGAAAUAAAUUCAACUUGGGGAAGAGAAUCACGAGGAUGAACUCCUCGGCUGCUUCUAGCGUGUUUUGUGGUGGAGGAACAUAGAAAUCUCCGUUUCCUCAUUACUUUAUUCCGAUGGUUUAUUUGCCAUACGUUACAUUGGCGAGAGAUUGGCGAGAGGUGGGUUACCAGAAGGAGGCGACGUUAAAAUCAGUGCCAGUGACGACGAUGAUGGACACGAUGAGCUUGGUUGGCAGUGGCCGCCGCAACAGUGUUGUACUCGGAGCCCAUGCUAUCCGAGCUCGACAAUACGAACAGCUCAGUCCUUUUGCAGCCGUGUUCAUCGACAAGUUGUCCAUACAGUACCUUGGCAUCAACAACCACGGCCAUGAUAGCGGAGUUGUGCUGGCCGACAGCCCUGCUACCAUGCGCCGAGCAGUCUACUGAUUUCAGAAGACCGUGAGGACUGCUGGGCUCAAGGGGUUGAAUCGGGUUCACCACAUGUGGUGGCAACCUGGGUUGGCACUCAUCUUGGAGCACAAUUAAAUGGAAAUCAGUAGCAAAACCACAAUCUGCAUAGUGACUUCAAUGGAGGUGCACCGGAUGAACCGGAGGUGAUCAUUUUGGACUGCACGGAUUUGGACUAUGCACGGAUGUCCUAAUUCUGUUAGGUCCAAUGGGCCCUGCUUAAUACAUCAAACAACCACAUUUUUUCAUGCAUUAUGAUGACUGAUCCUUGUAAACUGCAUUACAUAUAAUAUUUAUAAAGCUCUCUUCUUGUAACCAUUGUAUAUGCAUAAUCGAAAACCAACCCUUAAUUAGUGGCACAAACACACUGACAUCCAAAGAAUGGAUUAAGUGCUAGGGAGAAGGGAGGGCGAAGAUGAAGGCUCUGCUAUGUAGGUGGCCUUGAUGUAACUAGAGCAUUCUUUGGUCAUGUUAGAGACUUAUUAGUGAUAGAGCAGUAAAUUAUUUUGUUAGGAUAA
This is a long non-coding RNA of Triticum aestivum (bread wheat), 1537 nucleotides long. RefSeq lists it as uncharacterized. NCBI's taxonomy places the organism in Eukaryota, Viridiplantae, Streptophyta, Magnoliopsida, Poales, Poaceae. The record is from RefSeq and is a predicted model, not a curated record. The transcript is spliced from 5 exons.